RNAcentral lists this ribosomal RNA (253 nucleotides) under uncultured bacterium. RNAcentral's name for it is "partial 16S ribosomal RNA". It matches the Rfam family "Bacterial small subunit ribosomal RNA", at positions 524 to 776 of the family's 1533-position model. The record is from RNAcentral.
UACAGAGGGUGCAAGCGUUGUUCGGAAUUAUUGGGCGUAAAGCGCGUGUAGGCGGCUUUGCAAGUCGGGUGUGAAAUCCCUCAGCUCAACUGAGGAAGUGCGCCCGAAACUGCAGAGCUUGAGUACCGGAGAGGAUGGCGGAAUUCCCCAAGUAGAGGUGAAAUUCGUAGAUAUGGGGAGGAACACCGGUGGCGAAGGCGGCCAUCUGGACGGAUACUGACGCUGAGACGCGAAAGCGUGGGUAGCAAACAGG